CCCUUAGAUGUCCUAGGCUGCACGCGCGUUACAAUGGCAUUUGCAACAAGUUUUCCAUGCCCGAUGGGGCUUGGUAAUCUUUGAACGGAUGUCGUGCUAGGGAUCGAUCUUUGAAAUUAGGUCGUGAACGAGGAAUGUCUUGUAUGCGUAGCUCAUCAAGCUACACCGAAUACGUCCCUGCCCUUUGUACACACCGCCCGUCGCUACUACCGAUGAUAUUGCUAAUGAGGAAUUUGGAGGGCGGCUAUGCCUCGGCAACGGGGUUUGCUGCCCAAAGUCUUUCAAAUUAGCCGUAUUAGAGGAAGUAAAAGUCGUAACA
This 319-nucleotide ribosomal RNA is filed under the name uncultured eukaryote. RNAcentral describes it as "partial 18S ribosomal RNA". It matches the Rfam family "Eukaryotic small subunit ribosomal RNA", at positions 1470 to 1796 of the family's 1831-position model. The record is from RNAcentral.